Molecule: long non-coding RNA, 260 nt
Organism: Myiozetetes cayanensis
Lineage: Eukaryota; Metazoa; Chordata; Aves; Passeriformes; Tyrannidae
Exons: 3
Source: RefSeq, a predicted model, not a curated record
GCAGAAGACAACAUGAGGAUGCAUUUGAAGCUGACACUGCCUGGACGUUAAGCACCUGCUGAAGACAUAACUGCCACAUACCUCUUUUGCAAAGCAAACAGAAAAAAGUUACUCAACUAGAAACUCUAUGGAAAAAUGCUGAAGACUUUGUGAGUGAAAUAACAGCUCUACAUUUUGCUGGGAAAUGUCAGUCAGUGUGAGUCACUAAUAUCAUGGGCACUGACAACUCUGCCUGUCUUCUUUCCUGGGGCUUCCUCCAC